AUGGAUCACCAACAGUCCAGGUUUUGUCAGUUUUUCUAUUGGAAGAAAACAGGGAAAUACAUAAAUCCUGGACUGUUGGUGGUCCAUGAGGGCA
This is a non-coding RNA of Pelobates cultripes (western spadefoot toad), 94 nucleotides long. The record is from the annotation of a GenBank genome assembly. Lineage: Eukaryota; Metazoa; Chordata; Amphibia; Anura; Pelobatidae.